Molecule: ribosomal RNA, 434 nt
Filed under: uncultured bacterium
Lineage: Bacteria
Description: partial 16S ribosomal RNA
Rfam family: Bacterial small subunit ribosomal RNA
Source: RNAcentral
AGCGAACGCUGGCGGCAGGCCUAACACAUGCAAGUCGAACGGACCUUUCGGGGUUAGUGGCGGACGGGUGAGUAACACGUGGGAACGUGCCUUUAGGUUCGGAAUAACUCAGGGAAACUUGUGCUAAUACCGGAUGUGCCCUUCGGGGGAAAGAUUAAUCGCCUUUAGAGCGGCCCGCGUCUGAUUAGCUAGUUGGUUGAGGUAAUGGCUCACCAAGGCGACGAUCAGUAGCUGGUCUGAGAGGAUGAUCAGCCACAUUGGGACUGAGACACGGCCCAAACUCCUACGGGAGGCAGCAGUGGGGAAUCUUGCGCAAUGGGCGAAAGCCUGACGCAGCCAUGCCGCGUGAAUGAUGAAGGUCUUAGGAUUGUAAAAUUCUUUCACCGGGGACGAUAAUGACGGUACCCGGAGAAGAAGCCCCGGCUAACUUCGUG